UCCGCCCACCCAGCAUGAUGUGUCCGGCAUGGAAUCAAGAGUCCCCAGCGCUCCACAUUCCCAAGAAAAUGCCAGGAACCCCCAAACCUCCUUCCCCCAUCACACAAGAUGGGGUUGGCAGCUGAUCAGGCCCCAAUAAUUUUAUAGUGGAAUAAGCUCUUUGAAUGUGUAUGUUCUUAUUUUUACAGAGAUAUUAUAAAUGCUCAUAUCCAACAUCUUACAUCGAUACAGUUUUGUAUUUUCAUAUAAAUAUGCUGACAUUAUAAAAAAGACUGCUCACACUUAGAAGAGCCAAGAGGAAAUGCUUGGUCAGGACCCCCCUCUCGGCUCCUCCAGAGCAGGCCUUCACUGGAGCAAGUCCCGCUAAAGGCUACUCAAGUGCAGCAGAGUCCAGUCAGAGACCUGUUUCUUCUUGGCCCUUUAAGUUUUUCCCUCUGAGCUGCAGGAGGGCCAGCGAGGAAGGGAAGACACGUAUUUGCAACUCAAACCUUGGGUUCUGCUUUUGGGCCCUGGAAGGAGACUGUGUGUACAAGUCAGAAGUGAAACAGCAGAUUCGACCGUCCAGACCAGACCAAGCUGGUAACACUGGGGUCAUAAACUCACAGAGCCAAAGAGCAUGGAAUUCAGGAAUAUAGAAAGUGGGAGAAACUGACAUGAACCAGGCCCCUGACCCUGGUGCUAAGGCCUGGUUCCUGCCUCUAUUUGUCUCCAUAGAAACAACCAUCAGAUCAACAACAGCUACCAAGAAGCACCUGUGUCUCAGAAAGUAUGUUCCAGGAGGGUUCUGAGGAGAUCUUACCCCAGCAGAGGCGGAACAGUACGAGACAUGAAGUACCAGUUCAGGGCCUUUCUGCGGCCACACCAGCCUCCUGUGGAAACAUGCAGCCCUCUCUUCACAUGGCGUUCAUGUUGUUUUUUACAGAGAAAGGAAUAAAGGACUGUGCUCAGAAGAACCAGGAAGGACUCCAGUACUCGACCUGUCUCAACUCUUGUUUGUGUGGGUGUUGCGGGCAGAGAUGAGAAGGAAGAUGAGACGGUGCGUGUCUCAUCUGGGUAUUGUGGGGGCUGGGGAAGAGUCUGCACUGGUUUCGAGAUUGAUCAGAGAAACAAACAAAGGAAAGUAUUCUCUGAAAAAGUAGCAAAAGUCCCGAUUCAGGCUCAAAAGACAAUCUCAUUGAAUGACUCCAGGCUACUUCCUCCAGCAGCUUGCAUGAAUCUAAGAACAAUGCAAACUAGCCCCGUGCAGGCUGGGUGUUUUACCAGAGCAGUGUAGAUGGAAUGGGGGGUCUUGGAAGCUGGGCCUGGCCAUGUUUAGGCUCUCCCCAUCUCUCUGUACCUCAGUUUCCUUGCUCCAAAAUGAAGAGAUUGAAAUAAGUGGUUUUGUAACAUGGGAAACCCUGGUGGCAUGGUGGUUAAGUGCUAGGGCUGCUAACCAAAGGGUCAGCAGUUUGAAUCUGCCAGGCACUCCUUGGAAACCCUAUGGGGUAGUUCUACUCUGUCCUAUAGGGUCACUAUGAGUCGGAAUCGACUCGAUGGCACUGGGUUUUGUUUUUUUUGGUUUAAGGGUAACAUGUGUGAAAUGUUUCCAUUCAUUCUGCGUUUGCAGUUUUUAAUGAUAAAGGUGAUAUGACACAAAACAAUAAAAUUCAUGAAACGGAGGCUAAUUUAAUCAUCCAUAAUCCUACCACCCUAAAACAGGUCAUUUAUUUUUUAUAUUUAAAUGUUUUUAAUCUUGCAGGACAAUAAAGCAUAACUGGUUCUGGAAAGUGCUAAAAUGGUUUAGCUGCUUUUUCCUUUCAGGACAAAAAAAAACUCUUAUUAAUACGUUUGGGUUUUUUUUUUUUCACGGUGAAGCCCUUGUCCUUACUAAACUUCAAGGACCUAUUCUAUGUCAUGAUUACUCUUGAGAUAUGAUUGUCAUCUUCAGUAAAUAGUACUGAUCACCCCAGACACCUAAACACCCCCUACACACACACACACACACACACACAGAGGCUGUUUUAACGCCUGUAGGCCUAUUAAAUUUUAACGUGAGUGUGUUUUGCAACAACUUUUUUCAUCCUGUAACAGAACCAGGAUCUUGCAAAGUAACCACUUCCUCUCCUCUCAGCUGCUUCUCCCUUCCUCCCAGCCAGCUACACUCAAAUGCUUUGAGAGUGAGCUCAGGAAGAGGGGUUAAGUGGAAUCGCUUCCUCCAACCCAGCCCACCUCCGAACUUCUUUCUGAGGUUUGCUUAACAGUCUUCCAAAAAGGAGACACCUCCUCUCCUCCACCCCUCACCCGCUCAGGUUCUUCAGAAAGGCUGUAAGCAGGCAAUACUCUCCAGGGAUCGGACCUCUGAUGGCUCAUUUUCUAUGGCUCUAACACAACAGGUGCUCCAGCGACUCAUCCUUCAGCAGCUGCAGCGGCAUCAGUCACCUGCAGCAAUGGGACGAUUGGCUCCGAGCCUCACUAUUGCUCGCUUUGGGAUUUAAAGCAUCAGCUUCCCCUUUCGAGACCUGGGUGUAGGAAGGGUCAGCUAUUCGGAGACUAGUUUAUGCUCUGACCAGUGUAUUUUUAAACAUGCACACACCAAACAGCAAUAAGAACAGAGUCCUGCAGUUUUAUUUUAGGGGAGCAGGUCAUGGGGUCACUCAAUUUUGAGUCUCUAUAAAGAGGAAUCACCAAGAGUUGAAGGUACACAAUCCUGUUUUUCCUCACUGCCUACAUCUUUCUAAUGAGAGAGGGAAGGCUGAAAGAAGCAUGGCCAUCGAAGGACCAAACUACAUAAAGGAUCGGUAUUAGGCAAAGAGCAGGCUAAAAAGCACCUAAAAAAAAAAAAACAAACCCAAACCUGUUUCCAUCGAGUCAAUUUUGACUCAUAGCAACCCUAUAGGUCAGGAUAGAACUGCCCCCCCUAGAAUUUCCAAGGAGCACCUGGUAGAUUUGAACUGCUGAUCUUUUGGUCAGCAGUCAUAGCACUUAACCACUAUACCACCAAGGUUUCCAAAAAGCACCUCUGUGUGCUUUUUGAUGAGUAAGGUGCACCUGACCUAAGCCAUAGUCUCUUCAACUGCUUCAUAAGCACGCAACAGUUGGACAAUGAAUGCAAAAGGGGAACAGAAGAAGGAUUAAUGCAUUCGAACUGUGAUGUUGAUGAAGACAUUGAAUAUACCAUGGGCUGCCAGAAGAACGACUAAAUCAGUCUGAGAAGAAAUAUAACCAGAGUGCUCCUUAGAGCAGUGACAGAGAGACUUUGGGCACAUCAUCAGCAAAGACCAGUCGCUAGUCAGAGACAUUACGGUAACAAACUGGAGGGCUGGCAAAGGCAAAGAAGGCCCUCGGUUAGACGGAUUGACACAAUAGGCACAACAGUGAACUCCAACUUACCAACAACCAUGAAAAAGACUAGGAGUUGGAGCUGACUUGGUGGCAAGUAGCAACAGUCCACGCAAAAAAGGAUGAGAGGCUGAUGGGCUGUGAACACCACGGAAGGAUCAGCAACCACCUCUCGGACAAUUGUUAAAAGGCGUGGGAAUAACUAAUGAAUACCAACAACAGAAUUCCCUAGUUACAAACUAGCUUCAGGUUUUGCCUCCGCCAGACAAUCCCUACUCUCCAUGACCUCCGUCAUCUCCUCUGGCUAAAAAUCAGCCUCGACAAUGAUCGCUUCCUUUGCCUUGUCAUCAAGGCCACAAGAACAUAAGGAAGAGUGACACCCACAUGACCGUGCCUACUGGGGCUUCCUCCAACAUCCUCAGUGACAUUAUUUUUGCAGGGUAGGGAGGAAAAACCAUCCUCAAGGUCCCCAGAAGGGCUCCAACCUUGAACUUGCUCAGAGUAGAUUUUAACAACAAUUUUGGAAGACAAAGGAACAUACAUCAUCUCAUUUGCCCUUCACGAGCCUGUGAAAUAUUAAUACCUCCAUUCUGCAGAAGAAAUGCCCUUCUUUCAGACCUUUACCCAAUGUCAACUUCUCAGUGACGCCUUCCCUGGCUAUGUCAUCUAAAUAUCAACACCACCCUUGCCGAAGCAUUUCCAUCCACCCCCUCCUCUGGCUUUCACAUUUCACCUGAGCACUAACUCAGUCUUGAACAGGCUAUUUUAUUUACUUUCCUUGUUUGUCUGUCUCCCUAACUAAAACCUGAGCUGCACGAGGACACUGCCAUGUCUGUUUUGUUCCCUGCUGUGUCCCCUCACCUAGGACAGCACCUUGCAUACAGACGAUGCUCAAUAUGUAUUCAAUGGACAAGUGAAUGAAUGAAUGAGGAAAAUGAAGCUCCUAAGGUUGAAUCCACCAACUUUGAAUCUGCCAUGGAAAGGCAAAACCAGAGCGGGCACUAAAAUCUUCCCAUCCCAUAUCUUCUCCCAGCACCAAAAGGCCUCCCUCCCUGGUACCAGUUGCCAAGGUGUUGAGUUCUACUCCUGGAGACCCGCUGUAUGUCAGAAUAGAGCUGUACUCCACAGGGUUUUCAGUGACUGAUUUUUCAAAAGCAGACCACCAGGCCUUUCUUCCAAGGCACCUCUGGAUGUGAGCCGCCAGCCUUUUGGUUAGCAGUGAGUACAUUAACCAUUUGCACACCCAGGGACUCCCCCUUCCUGGUAGAAGUGGGGAAAGUGUUACAUCAGCUGGCACCAAGUGAGAGAGGGAGCCUACCAAACAAAAUUAGGGUGUUGGUGGGGGAAGGGGGUAAUAGGGUCUCUAUAAGUCGGAAUGAACUUGACGGCAAAGGGUUUAGCUUUGGAGUUUGGGGGACUAAACACACCCAGUUCUCAUUCUCUUUGAGAAAGGCUAGAAUAGCAAAGGCAAGUUGAAGGAUGCAUGAGCAAAAAGGAAAGUGACAGCUGACUCCAGACUGGCGAAAGAAACAAAAUGUAGAGGAUGAAGCCAACCCGAAUUUUGAAAAUUUGAGUAGAGCUUUGGGGGUGGAGGGUUCUACUUCAUUCAGGGCUUUCACAUAUAAGAGGAAACUUCCUAACAGCCUAAGACAGCCCUGUGGGGAGCAAUGAAGGGUGGGGGAGUGAAGAAGUUGUGGUGGAAGGAUGGCACCCUAACCCACCAUGGAAAGGGAGGGAAUGAAGGCAGGCUUUUUCUUGAGUGCCUAAAGGAGGGUGUGGGAGUCCCUGGGUGGUGCGAGUCGUUAACACACUCACGCCUAACUAAAAGGUUGCAGCUUUGGUUCUACCCAGAGGAACCUUGGAAGAAAGGCUGGGCUAUCUACUUCUGAAAAAUUAGCCAUUGAAAACCCUAUGGAGCACAGUUCUCCUCUGACACACACGGGGUUGCUAUAAGCUGGAGUCAACUCAGGGGUAACUGGUUUUAAAGAAGGGUGGAGAAGUAGAGCUUCAUAAAGCCCAGCCACGCAGAAUAUAAGAGGGAACUCACGGCACCUCAGGACAAGAGUAAUGCACACAAAACGGCUAGGUCAGGAUCCACCAAACCCUGGAGCUUAGGCUGGGCUUGAAUGGCCACAUUCCCAGAAGCUAUGGGCUGGAAUCCCCCUACUUCUAUGUUUCCAACAGCGACAGGAAGAAGCAGCUCCCUUGGGGGUAGGAGCAGGGGACCCUUAGAGCCAGCAUUCCAAAUGUCACCAUGUGCUUGCACUGAGGGUCCCACUCCUCCACCCCUGGGGUUCAAAGUCCCGUCCUGGGGAAAGACGCUCAGGCCUGGGUCAGAUGCCUUGUUAGGAAAACACUUCAGGGUGAGUGACGGUAAUGGGAGUACAAGAUGACAAACUAGGGAUAGUGACCGGACUUUGAGAGAGGCGGCCAGGUGGCGCCCCAGAAGUAGCCCAGUUUGCCGGAACACCCAGCGGGGUUUGGGGGAAGUGAAGGGUUUUGCUGGAGAGGAACUCCUGAAGGGUGGUCUCAAGACCAGCGUGCCGGUCCAGCUCUUACAAAAAGAGGCACUGGACCUGACACCAGUGUGAAAUGACAGGAAAGGGGGCUGAAAUUCCUGGGAGCAUGUAAAAGGCUUGUUCAGUAAUCUCCCACAGCGUUUAGUCCUCUGGCUUAAGCAACUACUGAAUUAAAAAUCCUCCACGUGGGUGAAAUGACGUGAUGUUCAGGAUUUGCUUUAAAAUUCUCCAGCAAACAAAACUAGUUGCGGGGGAGGGGAUGUGAACAGAAAAAAACAUGGUGGGGAAAUGUACCUGCUGAAGCUGGGCCAGGGUUAUGUGGGAAUGUGUUACACCAGUGGGUCUUCAAGUGUGGUUUCCAGACUAGCAACAUCAGCAGCAUCUGGGAACUCUAACUUGCGGAUUCUCAGGCUGCCAGAGACCUCAGAUCUACUACAUAAAAAACCCUUGGGGUGGGGCCCUGCAACGUGUGUUUUAGCAGCUCUUCAGAGGGUUCUGAUCUGUGAUUCGAUUCAUGCUGCAAUGCGAAACACACCGCAUUAAACCAUCUUCUCUCCGUCUGUGUAGGAGAGAUGAUGUUCAUAAUAAAGAGAGGUAAAAACCAUCCCUUCGGGCGUUUUGGAAGCCCUGUGGGGCGGUUCUUCUCUGUCCUGUAGGGUCCCUAUGAGGCAGAAUUGACUCGACGGCAAUGGGUUUGGUUUUUUGUUUGUUUGGGUUUUUUUUUUAACGGGCAUUUUUGUUGUCGAGUUGUUUCUUACAUCACUCCUCUUCAAUUGCUAUGUAACUAUUGUUUUGAUCUUUUCCCGGAGUCAGAACGAAAAGCCAGAAAGCAAGUGCGGUGACGACUCUCCCUCUCCGCUCCCUCGG
This is a long non-coding RNA of Loxodonta africana (African savanna elephant), 6704 nucleotides long. RefSeq lists it as uncharacterized. The record is from RefSeq and is a predicted model, not a curated record. The transcript has 3 exons. NCBI's taxonomy places the organism in Eukaryota, Metazoa, Chordata, Mammalia, Proboscidea, Elephantidae.